UGCCAGCCGCCGCGGUAACACGUACCGGACGAACGUUAUUCGGAAUCACUGGGCUUAAAGAGUCCGUAGGCGGCUCGGUAGGUGAGGUGUGAAAUCCCACGGCUCAACCGUGGAACUGCGCUUCAAACCACCGGGCUUGAGGGAGAUAGAGGUGAGCGGAACUGAUGGUGGAGCGGUGAAAUGCGUUGAUAUCAUCAGGAACACCGGUGGCGAAAGCGGCUCACUGGGUCUCUUCUGACGCUGAGGGACGAAAGCUAGGGGAGCGAACGGGAUUAGAUA
RNAcentral lists this ribosomal RNA (279 nucleotides) under uncultured bacterium. RNAcentral describes it as "partial 16S ribosomal RNA". It matches the Rfam family "Bacterial small subunit ribosomal RNA", at positions 506 to 784 of the family's 1533-position model. The record is from RNAcentral.